UAUUGUUGUGUUGUUUUGUUUUCUAGAAAAUUAAUGCCCAAAAAAGCAAAGAAUCGCAGAGAAAUGGCCCCUUCAUGAAUGAUCAAUGAGGAAUGGAUCAGGAGUUCCAGGCUGUCACAGGGAUCCAGGCUGCAAACUCCAAAAAAGGAAACAUCAGCUUUAGAAGUGCUCAGAAGCCACCCCGUAACCCCUGCCGGCCACAGCUUCUAACACUUAGAUGGAAUCCUUUUAGAUACUAAAACAAAAAUAGAUUAUAUCUCAGAAAGAGACACGAAAAUGAUUUGACACUAUGUGUAUAAUCUAAUUCAAACCAUAGACCCCCUAAUCGACAUUUAAUUGAUGCAAUAAUGUUUGUUCAUGACGGUAAAUAAACAAAAUAUAUAAACAGAAACAUCUUCUUUGAUGUUUAAUGACUGCUUAGCAGCUAUUUGGGUCAGAGCUACUGAGUCCUAAUAAACAAAUGCUUAAUAAUCAAUUGAAAUGCAUUUCUCUGGUUAUUGCCUUAUUAAAUCAGAUCCAACUUCAGCUGAGGAAUAUUCCUUCCAACAGGAAGAAAAUGGUUGGAAAUGAAAAAGGUUGUGAUGGCAAGUCCCUGUGUACCCUGCAAGUGAAAUGGACGAGUUUCUCUCUCCAUCCCUGCAAUCACCUGGAGCCCAUGAGAAAGCCACACUCCAGCCUGCAGGGUGAGCAGGAAACCCAGAAGUUGGCUGCCCAGCUACAGAGAUAAGGAAGAGGCGGGGCACUGGCUGGAACGCGCAGGAAGGAAGCCUCCAGCCCCCUCACCUGUACAAGAUGUCAGGGCAGCCCUUCCUCUCAUCACCUGCGAACAAGAUGUCCAGAAACACUGCCAAGAAACAGCCACCAAAGUUCAGCAGCCCCAGAGCAAUUUGACAAAAUAAAA
RNAcentral lists this long non-coding RNA (901 nucleotides) under Homo sapiens (human). Its description in RNAcentral is "HSALNT0267092". Lineage: Eukaryota; Metazoa; Chordata; Mammalia; Primates; Hominidae. The record is from RNAcentral.